Molecule: microRNA precursor, 104 nt
Filed under: Chlorocebus sabaeus (green monkey)
Lineage: Eukaryota; Metazoa; Chordata; Mammalia; Primates; Cercopithecidae
Description: miRNA (ENSCSAG00000027331.1)
Source: RNAcentral
GUAUAUAGAAAGUAUUUAAAUUGGUGCAAAAGUAAUUGUGGUUUUUGCCCAUGGACGUAAGGCCAAAAAUUGCAAUUACUUUUGCACCAACCUAGUACAUAUAA